Molecule: ribosomal RNA, 319 nt
Filed under: Enterococcus faecalis
Lineage: Bacteria; Bacillati; Bacillota; Bacilli; Lactobacillales; Enterococcaceae
Description: partial 23S ribosomal RNA
Rfam family: Bacterial large subunit ribosomal RNA
Source: RNAcentral
GAAGAUGCGGAGCCGCAGCGAAAGCGAGUCUGAAUAGGGCGCAUGAGUACGUGGUCGUAGACCCGAAACCAGGUGAUCUACCCAUGUCCAGGGUGAAGUUCAGGUAACACUGAAUGGAGGCCCGAACCCACGCACGUUGAAAAGUGCGGGGAUGAGGUGUGGGUAGGGGUGAAAUGCCAAUCGAACCUGGAGAUAGCUGGUUCUCUCCGAAAUAGCUUUAGGGCUAGCCUCAAGGUAAGAGUCUUGGAGGUAGAGCACUGAUUGGACUAGGGGCCCCUACCGGGUUACCGAAUUCAGUCAAACUCCGAAUGCCAAUGAC